CAGUCGCCACGGUAAUACGUAGGUGGCAAGCGUUGCCCGGAAUUAUUGGGCGUAAAGGGCUCGCAGGCGGUUUCUUAAGUCUGAUGUGAAAGCCCCCGGCUCAACCAGGGAGGGUCAUUGGAAACUGGGAAACUUGAAUGCAGAAGAGGAGAGUGGAAUUCCACGUGUAGCGGUGAAAUGCGUAGAGAUGUGGAGGAACACCAGUGGCGAAGGCGACUCUCUGGUCUGUAACUGACGCUGAGGAGCGAAAGCGUGGGGAGCGAACAGGAUUAGAUACCCCAGUAGUCCCUGUCUCUUAUAC
RNAcentral lists this ribosomal RNA (301 nucleotides) under uncultured bacterium. RNAcentral's name for it is "partial 16S ribosomal RNA". It matches the Rfam family "Bacterial small subunit ribosomal RNA", at positions 509 to 807 of the family's 1533-position model. The record is from RNAcentral.